AGGGGUAUAGCUCAGUUGGUAGAGUAGCGGUCUCCAAAACCGUUGGUUGUAGGUUCGAGACCUACUACCCCUGCCA
Molecule: transfer RNA, 76 nt
Filed under: Clostridium sp. JN-9
Lineage: Bacteria; Bacillati; Bacillota; Clostridia; Eubacteriales; Clostridiaceae
Description: tRNA-Trp
Rfam family: tRNA
About the family: Transfer RNA (tRNA) molecules are approximately 80 nucleotides in length. Their secondary structure includes four short double-helical elements and three loops (D, anti-codon, and T loops).
Source: RNAcentral